UACGAAGGGGGCUAGCGUUGUUCGGAAUUACUGGGCGUAAAGGGCGCGUAGGCGGUCCGUUUAGUCAGAAGUGAAAGCCCCGGGCUUAACCUGGGAACUGCUUUUGAUACUGGCGGACUUGAGUUCCGGAGAGGAUGGUGGAAUUCCCAGUGUAGCGGUGAAAUUCGUAGAUAUUGGGAAGAACACCGGUGGCGAAGGCGGCCAUCUGGACGGACACUGACGCUGAGGCGCGAAAGCGUGGGGAGCAAACAGG
Molecule: ribosomal RNA, 253 nt
Filed under: uncultured bacterium
Lineage: Bacteria
Description: partial 16S ribosomal RNA
Rfam family: Bacterial small subunit ribosomal RNA
Source: RNAcentral